This 230-nucleotide unclassified non-coding RNA is filed under the name Hevea brasiliensis (rubber tree). The record is from RNAcentral. Lineage: Eukaryota; Viridiplantae; Streptophyta; Magnoliopsida; Malpighiales; Euphorbiaceae.
UCGGGAUUGCUCCUAAUGGCAGUGAUGGGCCUACUGUUCCCUGCUGUCCUACAUUUUACACACACCGAGUUGCAUUUUGGGAAGUCAGAGCUGGCACUUUCCCGGUUUAGCAGCUGCGUAAUGCUUGUAGCAUACGGUGCAUACCUGUUUUAUCAGCUGACUAGUCAGAAUAGUUUUUACAUGCCACUUGCUGAGGAAGAGGGUGAGAAUGACGAGAGCCUAGAAGAGGA